RNAcentral lists this small nuclear RNA (100 nucleotides) under Phascolarctos cinereus (koala). The record is from RNAcentral. Lineage: Eukaryota; Metazoa; Chordata; Mammalia; Diprotodontia; Phascolarctidae.
GUGCUUGCCGUGUCCGCACAUAUGCUAAGAUACUAAGAGAAGAUUAGCAUGGCCCCUGCGCAAGGGUACCGUGCAGAUUUGUGCUGUGUUCCGUAUUUUU